AAACACUCUUGAAUAAUUCCCAUUUUACAGCUGGAGAAAGCGCACAUGGAUAGUUGGAUGGAAAGGAAGUGUGAAAGUAUAUGUUAAAGCCGUUCAGUAAGAUUUAAAUUCUGCACAUAAAUGCUAUUUCUCCUGCAGCUUGUGGAAGAAACCGCAGCAGAAGGGACCACCCAGGAUAAGAAACAAAGUGGAAACCUUUACUCCAAAAGGAGCGACUCUCACCGCAGCCUCUGGGCUUGACAGCGGCCCUCCUGCCAAAGCCUGGCGGCACGGUUUGGAGGCCUGCCCAACCCUCCACGNNNNNNNNNNNNNNNNNCUGCCAGGCGAGCCGGGCGCAGAGGAGGAGCGAGGGCCGGGAGGGAUGGAGGUGACCAGCCGGCGGGGAAUGGAAAGGGGAGGAGGACCCCGAGGAGCCGGGGUGAGUCAAUGGGAACCGCCGGCCGGGGAAACGACGGCGGGCCUCGGCGAAGGAGAGGAGAUGACUCCGUGGGCCUGCGGGCGGGAUGAAGCUGCUGGGCGUCGCGCUGCUGGCCGCUGCCUUGCUCGGCACCCUCGUCUGGGCCAAGGAGACGCUGUGGGGGGACGGGCACCCCCAGACCUGCUUCUUCGAGCUGUUGAGCAGCCUGGACAACAAGUUCUGCAGGUGAGCGGCUCCCACUUUCCUUUCUAUGCUACACCGGGGCCUUGCAGAAACGCCUGGUGCAAGCCCCAGCGCGUGCAACGGGGUAAGGCUCGCCCAGUCUCGGGCUGCCCUCGUGAGCCUGGCGCGCCAGCUCCUGGGACAGCUAAUUCCCAUAUCCCCUCUGCCGGGGCUGUAAACGCCGAUGGCUUCCCCCUUUUGCUGGGAAGCAGCAAAGGAGCCCGGUAAAGCGGUGCCCGCGGUGCUGCCCGGCUUUAUGCAAGCUGGGAUCCUGCAGUCUCUGGUCCGUGUUGCAGCGUCUGAUAAAAGGCCUUGCACAGUCCAAGCUGAUGGAGAUAACAAAUGUUUCCCGCAGCAAACUUCAGCAGAAGGAGG
RNAcentral lists this long non-coding RNA (1015 nucleotides) under Struthio camelus australis. RNAcentral describes it as "lncRNA (ENSSCUG00000011600.1)". Lineage: Eukaryota; Metazoa; Chordata; Aves; Struthioniformes; Struthionidae. The record is from RNAcentral.